RNAcentral lists this ribosomal RNA (477 nucleotides) under uncultured bacterium. RNAcentral describes it as "partial 16S ribosomal RNA". It matches the Rfam family "Bacterial small subunit ribosomal RNA", at positions 28 to 507 of the family's 1533-position model. The record is from RNAcentral.
GAUGAACGCUGGCGGCGUGCUUAACACAUGCAAGUCGAACGAGAAAUGGAGACGGAAACCUUCGGGCGGAAGGCUUCAUUUCGAGUGGCGGACGGGUGAGUACGCGUGGGUAACCUGCCUCAUACAGGGGGAUAACAGUUGGAAACGACUGUUAAUACCGCAUAAGACCACAGCACCGCAUGGUGCGGGGGUAAAAACUCCGGUGGUAUGAGAUGGACCCGCGUUCGAUUAGCCAGUUGGCGGGGUAACGGCCCACCAAAGCGACGAUCGAUAGCCGAUCUGAGAGGAUGACCGGCCACAUUGGGACUGAGACACGGCCCAAACUCCUACGGGAGGCAGCAGUGGGGAAUAUUGCACAAUGGGGGAAACCCUGAUGCAGCGACGCCGCGUGAGUGAAGAAGUACUUCGGUAUGUAAAGCUCUAUCAGCAGGGAAGAAAAUGACGGUACCUGAGUAAGAAGCCCCGGCUAACUACGUG